This 58-nucleotide transfer RNA is filed under the name Dipodomys ordii (Ord's kangaroo rat). It matches the Rfam family "tRNA", at positions 8 to 63 of the family's 71-position model. From Rfam's summary of the family: Transfer RNA (tRNA) molecules are approximately 80 nucleotides in length. The record is from Rfam by way of RNAcentral. Lineage: Eukaryota; Metazoa; Chordata; Mammalia; Rodentia; Heteromyidae.
UGGCUCAGUGGUAGAGUGCUUGCCUUGCACGCAUGAGGUCCUGGGUUCGAUUCCUCAG